Molecule: ribosomal RNA, 495 nt
Filed under: uncultured bacterium
Lineage: Bacteria
Description: partial 16S ribosomal RNA
Rfam family: Bacterial small subunit ribosomal RNA
Source: RNAcentral
GAUGAACGCUGGCGGCGUGCCUAAUACAUGCAAGUCGAGCGAACAGACGAGGAGCUUGCUCCUCUGACGUUAGCGGCGGACGGGUGAGUAACACGUGGAUAACCUACCUAUAAGACUGGGAUAACUUCGGGAAACCGGAGCUAAUACCGGAUAAUAUAUUGAACCGCAUGGUUCAAUAGUGAAAGACGGUUUUGCUGUCACUUAUAGAUGGAUCCGCGCCGCAUUAGCUAGUUGGUAAGGUAACGGCUUACCAAGGCAACGAUGCGUAGCCGACCUGAGAGGGUGAUCGGCAACACUGGAACUGAGACACGGUCCAGACUCCUACGGGAGGCAGCAGUAGGGAAGCUUCCGCAAUGGGCGAAAGCCUGACGGAGCACCGCCGCGUGAGUGAGGAAGGUCUUCGGAUCGUAAAACUCUGUUAUUAGGGAAGAACAAAUGUGUAAGUAACUAUGCACGUCUUGACGGUACCUAAUCAGAAAGCCACGGCUAACUACG